Long non-coding RNA from Trifolium pratense (red clover), 521 nucleotides. RefSeq lists it as uncharacterized. NCBI's taxonomy places the organism in Eukaryota, Viridiplantae, Streptophyta, Magnoliopsida, Fabales, Fabaceae. The record is from RefSeq and is a predicted model, not a curated record. The transcript is spliced from 3 exons.
UCGACCAUUGAGACAUGGUAUGCAACAUCGUCUUGGGUUUGGUUGAGUAUAAGUUAAUUGUUUGGAUUUUCCUGUAGAACUAUUUAUGCAUAUAGUUAGUUUGAUGCACUCCCUUAUUUUUCUUUCAUUUGAUUUUGAUUAUCAAUAUACCUUCUAUUAUUUCUCUAUAUAGCUGCUAUGAAAAACAUGUUCCUAAAAUUGCAAGUCCCUUGGAUUAUAUCUAGAGCAGUACAUGGCAACAUACAAAUUAAUCAAGCUGUUAAUAAAUACUUGUGUUUGCACAUAAAUAGAUAAUAAUGAGCCAAUGAUUUUUCUUCAAUUGUAACCCUUAGGGAGUCAAGAAUCAAAUUGCAGCCAGCAGGUUAAGAUGCUCUACACCUAGAGAGAAGAUUAAAUCAAAUAGUAGAUAAAGAUCUAAUGGGAGAGCGACUUAGUUAAAUGGGAAGAAAUGGUCCAAGUUGCACUCAUGUGUAGACAUUUUAGGGAACUUCAUUCAUUAUGUAGAAUUGCAUAUACUUGGU